GUUAGCAGAGUUGAACAGGGCGUUUCGUAUUACAAACGAGCUGAUCCACAAGGAGAACACUGACGCACCAACUAACAGAGCUUCAGGGUAGUAAGGGAAAAGCUGCCAGACCUGGAAGAACCAGGGAAAAGCUGCCAGACCUGGAAGAACCACUCGAAAAUGUUUUCAAUAAUUUACACAACAGUUUGAAGAGAAAAUCGGCAACAGUGUGGAGAAUUUGCACAAUACUUCCAACAAAUCGGGAUGGAAGCUUUGACUUAACUGUGUCUGCUGUCCUCUUCAUUCGGCUGAGUUCGUCCUAAGUCACACCGACCUGCAUUUCAUGAGCGACUAGACCACUAGUCAUACAACAAUACCAACCUCCUUUGGAUCCUGGCCAGGGCUGUGUGGAUUCUCUCCCUGUACCGCUUGCACUUCUCCUUGGUGAUGUUGACGUGGAUCAAGCUCCCAUCCUUCCAGGGGACGUGGAUGAAUCUGUUGCAGUAUUUGGCAUGGAUAGUCUUCUUAUUGGUGUCCUGAGGGAAGGACAAAGUUGGGGGCUAGAGCGGGUCCUUAGAAACUCCCUUUGCUAAAACCAAAUAAAGACGACGCCUUGCUUGGGCUCCCAAGGUAACUAAAAACGGAAUAAAAUCUGCACAUCUCUGCC
Molecule: non-coding RNA, 646 nt
Organism: Rattus norvegicus (Norway rat)
Lineage: Eukaryota; Metazoa; Chordata; Mammalia; Rodentia; Muridae
Source: RefSeq, a predicted model, not a curated record